AGUGGAUGGGGAGCAACCUAGUUGUGCGUGUGUAAAGGUAGUGCCAAGAAAAGCGGUGAUCAUGAUGAAAAUCAAUUCCCGGUACCCGAAACCGACACAGGUGGGCAAGUAGAGAAUACUAAGGGGCGCGAGGUAACUCUCUCCAAGGAACUCGGCAAAAUGACCCCGUAACUUAGGGAGAAGGGGUGCCACCGAGAGGUGGUCGCAGUGAAGAGGCCCAGGCGACUGUUUAGCAAAAACAUAGGUCUCUGCAAACUCGAAAGAGGAGGUAUAGGGGCUGACGCCUGCCCAGUGCCGGAAGGUUAAAGAAGUUGGUCAGUCUUAGGAUGAAGCUAGCGACUGAAGCCCCGGUGAACGGCGGCCGUAACUAUAACGGUCCUAAGGUAGCGAAAUUCCUUGUCGGGUAAGUUCCGACCCGCGCGAAAGGCGUAACGAUCUGGGCGCUGUCUCGGAGAGAGGCUCGGCGAAAUAGGAUUGUCUGUGAAGAUACGGACUACCUGCAUUUGGACAGAAAGACCCUAUGAAGCUUUACUAUAGCUUGGAAUUGUGUUCGGGCUUCCUGUGCGCAGGAUAGGUGGGAGGCGUAGAAGGUAUUCUUGUGGGGAUACUGGAGCCAACGGUGAGAUACCACUCUCAGGAGGCUAGAAUUCUAACUUAAUUAAGGACAGUUUCAGGUGGGUAGUUUGACUGGGGCGGUCGCCUCCAAAAAGGUAACGGAGGCGUACAAAGGUUCCCUCAGACUGGUUGGAAAUCAGUCGAAGAGUGCAAAGGCAGAAGGGAGCUUGACUGCGAGAAGUACAGUUCGAGCAGGGUGGAAACACGGUCUUAGUGAUCCGACGGUGCUGUGUGGAAGGGCCGUCGCUCAACGGAUAAAAGUUACUCUAGGAUAACAGGCUGAUCUCCCCCAAGAGUUCACAUCGACGGGGAGGUUUGGCACCUCGAUGUCGGCUCAUCGCAACCUGGGGCGGAAGUACGUCCCAAGGGUUGGGCUGUUCGCCCAUUAAAGCGGUACGUGAGCUGGGUUCAGAACGUCGUGAGACAGUUCGGUCCAUAUCCGAUGUAGGCGUGAGAAUAUUGAGAGGAGCCUUCCUUAGUACGAGAGGACCGGGAAGGACGCACCGCUGGUGUACCUGUUAUGAUGCCAAUUGUAAACGCAGGGUAGCCAAGUGCGGAGAGGAUAACCGCUGAAAGCAUCUAAGUGGGAAGCCCACCUCAAGAUGAGUAUUCUGGUGUAAGGUCACGGGAAGACGACCCGUAAAUAGGCACGAGGUGGAAGUGCAGAGAUGUAUGAAGCCGAAGUGUACUAAUAGACCGUCGGCUUGACC
This 1325-nucleotide ribosomal RNA is filed under the name metagenome. RNAcentral describes it as "bacterial LSU rRNA". It matches the Rfam family "Bacterial large subunit ribosomal RNA", at positions 1561 to 2925 of the family's 2925-position model. The record is from RNAcentral.